Molecule: ribosomal RNA, 233 nt
Filed under: uncultured bacterium
Lineage: Bacteria
Description: partial 16S ribosomal RNA
Rfam family: Bacterial small subunit ribosomal RNA
Source: RNAcentral
AUCCCUACGGGGCGCAGCAGUGGGGAAUAUUGCACAAUGGGGGAAACCCUGAUGCAGCGACGCCGCGUGAAGGAAGAAGUAUUUCGGUAUGUAAACUUCUAUCAGCAGGGAAGAAAAUGACGGUACCUGACUAAGAAGCCCCGGCUAACUACGUGCCAGCAGCCGCGGUAAUACGUAUGGUGCAAGCGUUAUCCGGAUUUACUGGGUGUAAAGGGAGCGCAGGCGGUACGGCA